This 499-nucleotide ribosomal RNA is filed under the name uncultured bacterium. RNAcentral describes it as "partial 16S ribosomal RNA". It matches the Rfam family "Bacterial small subunit ribosomal RNA", at positions 28 to 507 of the family's 1533-position model. The record is from RNAcentral.
GACGAACGCUGGCGGCGUGCCUAAUACAUGCAAGUCGAGCGGACCGAACAGGAGCUUGCUCUUGUUCGGUUAGCGGCGGACGGGUGAGUAACACGUGGGUAACCUGCCCGUAAGACCGGGAUAACUCCGGGAAACCGGAGUUAAUACCGGAUAACACCGAAGACCGCAUGGUCUUUGGUUGAAAGGCGGCUUCGGCUGCCACUUACGGAUGGGCCCGCGGCGCAUUAGCUCGUUGGUGAGGUAACGGCUCACCAAGGCGACGAUGCGUAGCCGGCCUGAGAGGGUGACCGGCCACACUGGGACUGAGACACGGCCCAGACUCCUACGGGAGGCAGCAGUAGGGAAUCUUCCGCAAUGGACGAAAGUCUGACGGAGCGACGCCGCGUGAGCGAAGAAGGUCUUCGGAUCGGAAAGCUCUGUUGUUAGGGAAGAAGAAGCGUCGUGCGAACAGGGCGGCGCGGUGACGGUACCUAACGAGAAAGCCCCGGCUAACUACGUG